This 500-nucleotide ribosomal RNA is filed under the name uncultured bacterium. RNAcentral describes it as "bacterial SSU rRNA". It matches the Rfam family "Bacterial small subunit ribosomal RNA", at positions 554 to 1056 of the family's 1533-position model. The record is from RNAcentral.
UUGGGCGUAAAGAGCUCGUAGGUGGUUCGUCACGUCGGAUGUGAAACUCUGGGGAUUUCCCCAGACCUGCAUUCGAUACGGGCGAGCUUGAGUAUGGUAGGGGAGUCUGGAAUUCCUGGUGUAGCGGUGGAAUGCGCAGAUAUCAGGAGGAACACCAAUGGCGAACGCAGGACUCUGGGCCAUUACUGACACUGAGGAGCAAAAGCGUGGGGAGCGAACAGGAUUAGAUACCCUGGUAGUCCACGCCGUAAACGGUGGGCACUAGUUGUGGGGACCUUCCACGGUCUCUGCGACGCAGCUAACGCAUUAAGUGCCCCGCCUGGGGAGUACGAUCGCAAGAUUAAAACUCAAAGGAAUUGACGGGGCCCCGCACAAGCAGCGGAGCAUGCGGCUUAAUUCGACGCAACGCGAAGAACCUUACCAAGGCUUGACAUAUACAGGAAUAUGGCAGAGAUGUCAUAGCCGCAACGUCUGUAUACAGGUGGUGCAUGGUUGUCGUC